AUACAUAUCUCGUCCUUUUGGCUAAGAUAAAGUGUAAUGUAAUAUUUGUUUUUAUCAGUUUAAUAUCUAAUAUGUAGAUCAUAUGUUCACUUUAAUAUUAAAUUUAUUUUUUUAUAGGUAUCAAAUAUGAUUGUGUCGUCGCAGCGCAC
RNAcentral lists this small nuclear RNA (149 nucleotides) under Zea mays. Its description in RNAcentral is "U2 spliceosomal RNA". It matches the Rfam family "U2 spliceosomal RNA". Rfam says of the family: U2 is a small nuclear RNA (snRNA) component of the spliceosome (involved in pre-mRNA splicing). Complementary binding between U2 snRNA (in an area lying towards the 5' end but 3' to hairpin I) and the branchpoint sequence (BPS) of the intron results the bulging out of an unpaired adenosine, on the BPS, which initiates a nucleophilic attack at the intronic 5' splice site, thus starting the first of two transesterification reactions that mediate splicing. Lineage: Eukaryota; Viridiplantae; Streptophyta; Magnoliopsida; Poales; Poaceae. The record is from Rfam by way of RNAcentral.